RNAcentral lists this ribosomal RNA (591 nucleotides) under Porpidinia tumidula. Its description in RNAcentral is "LSU rRNA". It matches the Rfam family "Eukaryotic large subunit ribosomal RNA", at positions 45 to 649 of the family's 3401-position model. The record is from RNAcentral. Lineage: Eukaryota; Fungi; Ascomycota; Lecanoromycetes; Lecideales; Lecideaceae.
AAUAAGCGGAGGAAAAGAAACCAACAGGGAUUGCCUCAGUAACGGCGAGUGAAGCGGCAACAGCUCAAAUUUGAAAUCUGGCCUCGUCGGGGCUCGAGUUGUAAUUUGUAGAGGAUGCUUCGGGUGCGGCGCCGGUCUAAGUCCAUUGGAACAUGGCGUCAGAGAGGGUGAGAAUCCCGUAUGCGACCGGCGACCAAGCCCAGCUGUAGCUCCUUCGACGAGUCGAGUUGYUUGGGAAUGCAGCUCUAAAUGGGUGGUAUAUUUCAUCUAAAGCUAAAUACCGGCCAGAGACCGAUAGCGCACAAGUAGAGUGAUCGAAAGAUGAAAAGCACUUUGGAAAGAGAGUCAAAAAGUACGUGAAAUUGUUGAAAGGGAAGCGCUCGCGACUAGACCUGUCCGCGGGCGAUCAGCCUCCGUUCUCCGGGGUGCACUCGUCUGCGAUCAGGCCAGCAUCAGUUCGGGCGGUCGGAUAAAGGCCGCGGGAAUGUAGCUCCCCCUCGGGGGAGUCUUAUAGUCCGCGGCGGAAUGCGUCCAGCCCGGACUGAGGACCGCGCUUCGGCCAGGAUGCUGGCGUAAUGGUCGUGAGCGGCC